Molecule: small nuclear RNA, 113 nt
Filed under: Chelonoidis abingdonii (Abingdon island giant tortoise)
Lineage: Eukaryota; Metazoa; Chordata; Testudines; Testudinidae
Description: U4 spliceosomal RNA (ENSCABG00000005703.1)
Rfam family: U4 spliceosomal RNA
About the family: U4 small nuclear RNA (U4 snRNA) is a component of the major U2-dependent spliceosome. The structure of U4 snRNA from yeast and human has been reported. U4 snRNA presents a k-turn RNA motif in the 5p-SL related to recognition of Snu13 protein.
Source: Rfam by way of RNAcentral
AGUUCUUUGCAGUGGCAGUAUCAUAGCUAAUGAGGUUAAUCCAAGGUGUGAUUAUUGCUAGUUGAAAACUUUCCCUCUUUCUUUAACUAAAUAAUUUGUAACACACCUAUUGU